GGUACCUGAAGAAUAAGCACCGGCUAACUACGUGCCAGCAGCCGCGGUAAUACGUAGGGUGCGAGCGUUAAUCGGAAUUACUGGGCGUAAAGCGUGCGCAGGCGGUUGUGUAAGACAGAUGUGAAAUGCCCGGGCUUAACCUGGGAAUUGCAUUUGUGACUGCACGGCUAGAGUGUGUCAGAGGGGGGUAGAAUUCCACGUGUAGCAGUGAAAUGCGUAGAUAUGUGGAGGAAUACCGAUGGCGAAGGCAGCCCCCUGGGAUAACACUGACGCUCAUGCACGAAAGCGUGGGGAGCAAACAGGAUUAGAUACCCUGGUAGUCCACGCCCUAAACGAUGUCGACUAGUUGUUGGGUCUUAAUUGACUUAGUAACGCAGCUCACGCGUGAAGUCGACCGCCUGGGGA
Molecule: ribosomal RNA, 405 nt
Filed under: uncultured bacterium
Lineage: Bacteria
Description: bacterial SSU rRNA
Rfam family: Bacterial small subunit ribosomal RNA
Source: RNAcentral